Long non-coding RNA from Bombus impatiens (common eastern bumble bee), 1064 nucleotides. RefSeq lists it as uncharacterized. The record is from RefSeq and is a predicted model, not a curated record. Lineage: Eukaryota; Metazoa; Arthropoda; Insecta; Hymenoptera; Apidae. The transcript is spliced from 2 exons.
CGAUACACAUAUAUACUCGUUCUAUACACUGAUCGUAUCUCUUUGUAGGGGUGCGUUCGCUUACACGGGCUCUAGAUCAUUCUCGACAUAAGAUUAUCUUUAUGAAAAGCGAAUUACAAUAUUGUUUGUCAUCAUUUGUGGGGUAAAGGAAGGAGAAGCGGAGAACCUCAUAGAGGAUUACUAGAGAUCCACGAUGUGAUGACCUUCCGACAGGGAUUCUUGGUUUCCGUGAUUGCAUUUAUAAGCUGCCAUCGCCAUUAUGGUACACGUGUACUCACCGGAUUAAGUCAUGUUUACGUAUUCUAAGACUGUCGUUCGAAGAGCAAAAUGACUAUGCCAUCAAAUUAAAUAAUUUCGAAUUAUUUACGUACAUGAUCCAAUAUUGUACACCUAUUCCGCGAAGUUAUACGCAAAUAUUGAGUUUCUGCAAAACAUAUAAACGUGUACUACUUUACAGCGAAUACUUCGCUUAAGUUCGCUAUAACGAUACACAGAUAGAAAGGAAACAGCUUGUUCGUACUUACUCGAUUUUAUUUGAAACAGUUACCGAGAAAAGAAUAAUUUUCAAUGGGUUCGAAUAAAUUCGCAAUUCUUCGAGCGAAAUAUGUCCACAACACCUUUGUGCCCGAUGCUAAUGAAUUUCACAGUCAUUUAAAUUUAACGCGAUAUUUGAUUCAAAUGCAAUUACAUGGUACUUACGUAUAUUGCCUUUCAAAGAUCACAGUGUACUCUACACUACAUAGAAAAGCAUAUCUAGGGCAGUGGUACUCAUUGGUUUCUUUCGAGUGAUCCUUGAAUUAAAAUAUUGCAUUUUGAUUCGAUCAAUGACAUUUAUCUUUUAUUUAUAUAAUGCUCACUGAUACUACAUCUAAUUUCGAAGACGACAAUUAUCCGAUCAAAUUUUUAGUAAUCUCAAUUGUUUAUCGAGGUAAUAUCGUUAACACGGAUCAGUGAGUACAUCUACUCACCAUAUCAAGAAGCAUAUGAUUCUAAACGAAACAAAUAACACGUCCGAUCGACUCCCGAUAUAACUCGUGUAAUACAAAUUAAAGUGAAUUGUACAU